Grus americana (Whooping crane) is the source of this 893-nucleotide long non-coding RNA. RefSeq lists it as uncharacterized. The record is from RefSeq and is a predicted model, not a curated record. Lineage: Eukaryota; Metazoa; Chordata; Aves; Gruiformes; Gruidae. The transcript is spliced from 5 exons.
GCGACCCGCGGGGAGGCGGCGGCCAUUUCGCGGCGGCUCCGCCCCGCCGCUCGGCUCCCGGACGGGGAAGGCGAGGGAGCUUCCAGCGCCCCGCCGGGGCCCCUCCGGCGGCUUCGUGCGGGGCAGCGGGCCCGAAGGCCCCCGCCGGGGUUCCAGUCGGUGCUCCGGCACCCCGAGGGCUCUCUAACCGCCCGGCCGCGUCCAUUGCUGCCUGUAACAGGACCCGUGUGGGAGAUGCACGUGGGAGCAGGAGGCCCGGCGAUGACAGCGUCUGCGAGCGUCCGCUGAUCCUAAUGAGAAACUGCGAGCCUGGGAAGGAAGAGGCUUCCAGAUGUGCUCUUUCAUCUGCCUGAUCUGCUGACUUCGUGGUGCCGCUUGCACUCCGGACAAACUGGGAUCCCUGUUUCCCUGCUGCAGCAGCUUUAAAACCCGUGCCCUCCUGUAACUCGGACAGCACGUGUGACUGCGCAGAGCGACGUUCUCAGUCCAGCCCACUGCGAGUGCCUGGGAAAACAGGCAGGCUUUGCUGCAUGCCCAUCGAUUAACCAAACCCAGCUGACUUUACUAUCUACAGGUGUAUCUGCUACUACUCUUUACAACAAGCAGCUGCCUGGGGCUCCCAAACGGCUCUUGUGGGGCUGUAAUGAAGUUGUGAGUCCCGCAGGUCCCUUCCGGGGAUCACCACCAGCGCAGCAGGACGAGGACUGAAUCUACUCCAAUGCCUCCAAAACCUGCAGCAUCUCGUCUCCGACACCAGAAGUCAUCGUCAGAAGGCAAAAAAACCCAAAAACCCCGGUGUGCAGAAAGGGACUGAUAGUUACCCAUUUGACUCAGCCCUGUUUCAAUUUGCAAUAUCCUUCCGUGCGUCGGGAGCAAUAAACACCUUGCAAACC